Molecule: ribosomal RNA, 253 nt
Filed under: uncultured bacterium
Lineage: Bacteria
Description: partial 16S ribosomal RNA
Rfam family: Bacterial small subunit ribosomal RNA
Source: RNAcentral
UACGUAGGGGGCAAGCGUUGUUCGGAAUUACUGGGCGUAAAGGGCGCGUAGGCGGCCUGUUGCGUCAGGUGUGAAAGCCCCGGGCUCAACCUGGGAUGUGCACUUGAUACGGGCGGGCUGGAAUCCGGGAGAGGAUGGUGGAAUUCCCAGUGUAGAGGUGAAAUUCGUAGAUAUUGGGAAGAACACCGAUGGCGAAGGCAGCCAUCUGGACCGGUAUUGACGCUGAGGCGCGAAAGCGUGGGGAGCAAACAGG